This 301-nucleotide ribosomal RNA is filed under the name uncultured bacterium. RNAcentral's name for it is "partial 16S ribosomal RNA". It matches the Rfam family "Bacterial small subunit ribosomal RNA", at positions 509 to 809 of the family's 1533-position model. The record is from RNAcentral.
CAGCAGCCACGGUAAUACAGAGGGUGCGAGCGUUAAUCGGAUUUACUGGGCGUAAAGCGUGCGUAGGCGGCUUCUUAAGUCGGAUGUGAAAUCCCUGAGCUUAACUUAGGAAUUGCAUUCGAUACUGGGAAGCUAGAGUAUGGGAGAGGAUGGUAGAAUUCCAGGUGUAGCGGUGAAAUGCGUAGAGAUCUGGAGGAAUACCGAUGGCGAAGGCAGCCAUCUGGCCUAAUACUGACGCUGAGGUACGAAAGCAUGGGGAGCAAACAGGAUUAGAUACCCCAGUAGUCCCUGUCUCUUAUAA